RNAcentral lists this ribosomal RNA (497 nucleotides) under uncultured bacterium. RNAcentral's name for it is "partial 16S ribosomal RNA". It matches the Rfam family "Bacterial small subunit ribosomal RNA", at positions 28 to 507 of the family's 1533-position model. The record is from RNAcentral.
GAUGAACGCUGGCGGCGUGCCUAAUACAUGCAAGUCGAGCGAACGGACGAGAAGCUUGCUUCUCUGAUGUUAGCGGCGGACGGGUGAGUAACACGUGGAUAACCUACCUAUAAGACUGGGAUAACUUCGGGAAACCGGAGCUAAUACCGGAUAAUAUUUUGAACCGCAUGGUUCAAAAGUGAAAGACGGUCUUGCUGUCACUUAUAGAUGGAUCCGCGCUGCAUUAGCUAGUUGGUAAGGUAACGGCUUACCAAGGCAACGAUGCAUAUCCGACCUGAGAGGGUGAUCGGCCACACUGGAACUGAGACACGGUCCAGGCUCCUACGGGAGGCAGCAGUAGGGAAUCUUCCGCAAUGGGCGAAAGCCUGACGGAGCAACGCCGCGUGAGUGAUGAAGGUCUUCGGAUCGUAAAACUCUGUUAUUAGGGAAGAACAUAUGUGUAAGUAACUGUGCACAUCUUGACGGUACCUAAUCAGAAAGCCACGGCUAACUACGUG